CUAGCAUUAUAAAUAAAUAUAGAGAGUUCCAAGUCAUUUGCAAGCAAUUCCAAAGAAGAGGAAACCUAGCCUUUUUAGAUAUUCUCAAACCUUCAAGAUUACUAGCCAUCUCUCCAAGUUCCAUUACUAUCAAGUCAUUUCUUCAAAUCUAACCAGUCUCUAGAGGAACAAAAAGUAUCUACGACCGUUUCUUUGAAGUCUACAAAGGAAGAGCAAGCCUUUGCGAUCGUUUCUUUUAAGAUUUAAUCAAGCUAUCUCAAAUCUAAGGAAUCACAAGCCCUCGACCAUUCCUUUAAAGAUUUACUUAUCUUCAUCAGUUCGUGAUCGAACUUUUCGCCCAUGAAAAUCAAAGCUUCUUCUGUUCGACAUGAAGACUCCAUUUUGAAGAUUGCCAAUCACUCCGUUCAAGAUCAAGUUAUCAAACUCUCGAUAAUUUUUGCUUUCAAGGAGAUCGAAUCAGAGAAUUAUUUUAUUGUACAAAA
RNAcentral lists this long non-coding RNA (482 nucleotides) under Durio zibethinus. RNAcentral describes it as "long non-coding RNA (DZIB_LNC001868)". The record is from RNAcentral. Lineage: Eukaryota; Viridiplantae; Streptophyta; Magnoliopsida; Malvales; Malvaceae.